RNAcentral lists this small RNA (88 nucleotides) under Klebsiella aerogenes. Its description in RNAcentral is "sroD RNA". It matches the Rfam family "sroD RNA". Rfam says of the family: This family consists of a number of bacterial sroD RNA genes of around 90 bases in length. sroD is found in several Enterobacterial species but its function is unknown. The record is from RNAcentral. Lineage: Bacteria; Pseudomonadati; Pseudomonadota; Gammaproteobacteria; Enterobacterales; Enterobacteriaceae.
CUGCGUGACGAAGCCCGUGCUAAAGUAGACAAUAAAGGCUAAGCAACGAGUGAGUCGCCCUGCGCCGGCUAAGCCGGCGUCCAGAUUA